ACUUUGCAACAGAAAGUAUUUCAGGUACCAGGGUGAUACAGAGAAGAUUAGCAUGGCCCCUGUGCAAGGAUGACACGCAAAUUCAAGUACCAGGGUACAGGAAU
Small nuclear RNA from Apodemus sylvaticus (European woodmouse), 104 nucleotides. The record is from RefSeq and is a predicted model, not a curated record. NCBI's taxonomy places the organism in Eukaryota, Metazoa, Chordata, Mammalia, Rodentia, Muridae.